UCCAGACUCCUACGGGAGGCAGCAGUGGGGAAUAUUGGUCAAUGGCCGGAAGGCUGAACCAGCCAUGCCGCGUGAAGGUCAGUGCCCUAUGGGCGUUAAACUUCUUUUGUGCGGGAGCAAUAAUGGUCACGUGUGGCCAGACGAGAGUACCGUACGAAUAAGCAUCGGCUAACUCCGUGCCAGCAGCCGCGGUAAUACGGAGGAUGCGAGCGUUAUCCGGAUUUAUUGGGUUUAAAGGGUGCGUAGGUGGUUAAUUAAGUCAGCGGUGAAAGUUUGUGGCUCAACCAUAAAAUUGCCGUUGAAACUGGUUGACUUGAGUAUAUUUGAGGUAGGCGGAAUGCGUGGUGUAGCGGUGAAAUGCAUAGAUAUCACGCAGAACUCCGAUUGCGAAGGCAGCUUACUAAACUAUAACUGACACUGAAGCACGAAAGCGUGGGGAUCAAACAGGAUUAGAUACCCUGGUAC
This 465-nucleotide ribosomal RNA is filed under the name uncultured bacterium. RNAcentral's name for it is "bacterial SSU rRNA". It matches the Rfam family "Bacterial small subunit ribosomal RNA", at positions 330 to 793 of the family's 1533-position model. The record is from RNAcentral.